RNAcentral lists this ribosomal RNA (534 nucleotides) under Triticum aestivum (bread wheat). RNAcentral describes it as "partial small subunit ribosomal RNA". Lineage: Eukaryota; Viridiplantae; Streptophyta; Magnoliopsida; Poales; Poaceae. The record is from RNAcentral.
AUGGCAGCGGGUGGAGCUAUUACAAACAAGACACUUGAUGAUGCUUUUUUGCUGAUUGAGAGCAUAGCUUUCCACCAACUUCAGUGGUAUAGUGAGAGACCCAUCUCAGAUUUGUUGGUUUGCUGUCACCACACUUCAACUCAGCAAGAAUGUCUUACACAAAAGCCAGAACCAGUUUCUCUGUGUGACAAGAUUGAGCUUUCAUGGAUUAUCUUUGAUGAUGAUGACACCAGCCUAGUUGACACACACACUGCAGAUCAUAUGGAUAUUAGCAUUCGAGAUUCAGUUUUGCAUUGUGAUGAUUCUUCCGUGGAUGAACCAGAGCUGCAGUUAGUUGCUUUUGAUAUUGAGAAGUCACCUUUAGUUCAUAUUGAUCAUGUGCUGGUAGAGCCAGAUAUGGAGAAGUUCUCCUUCGAUGAUGUCAGCUGCAUUGAUUCCUCAACACUUGAGCCUGAGAUGGAGAGCUUCAUGGUUGAUUAUGAUGAGGUGGAUUCAGAUGUCAAGGAGCCAAGCUCUACUAUUUUCACUUGUUGA